GGGCGCCUACGGGACGCAGCAGUGGGGAAUAUUGCGCAAUGGGGGAAACCCUGACGCAGCAACGCCGCGUGCGGGAUGAAGGCUUUCGGGUUGUAAACCGCUUUCAGCAGGGAAGAUAAUGACGGUACCUGCAGAAGAAGCCCCGGCUAACUACGUGCCAGCAGCCGCGGUAAUACGUAGGGGGCAAGCGUUAUCCGGAUUCAUUGGGCGUAAAGCGCGCGCAGGCGGGCCGCUAAGCGGGACCUCUAAUCUUGGGGCUCAAACUCAAGCCGGGUCCCGAACUGGCAGCCUCGAGGGCGGGAGGG
RNAcentral lists this ribosomal RNA (305 nucleotides) under uncultured bacterium. Its description in RNAcentral is "bacterial SSU rRNA". It matches the Rfam family "Bacterial small subunit ribosomal RNA", at positions 333 to 656 of the family's 1533-position model. The record is from RNAcentral.